AGAGUUUGAUCCUGGCUCAGAACGAACGCUGGCGGCGUGGUUAAGGCAUGCAAGUCGAGCGGACCUUUCUGCGGGGUAACCCAAGGUUAGGUCAGCGGCGAACGGGUGAGGAACACAUGGAUAACGUACCCUAGACUCGGGGAUAGCGGCGGAGCUUCGGUUCCUUUGCGAAAGUGCCGGUAAUACCCGAUGACCCGGUAGUGCCGUAUGGCACAGCCGGCAAAGUUCCGGCGGUCUGGGAUCGGUCCAUGUCCUAUCAGCUUGUUGGCGGGGUAAAGGCCCACCAAGGCUAUGACGGGUACCGGGCGUGAGAGCGUGACCCGGCACAUCGGAACUGAGAUACGGUCCGGACACCUACGGGUGGCUGCAGCAACGAAUAUUCCGCAAUGGACGAAAGUCUGACGGAGCGACGCCGCGUGCAGGAUGAAGUCCCUCGGGAUGUAAACUGCUGUCAGGGGUGAGGAAUUUUGACCAGCCCCAAAGGAAGCACUGGCUAACUCCGUGCCAGCAGCCGCGGUAACACGGAGAGUGCAAGCGUUGUUCGGAAUUACUGGGCUUAAAGAGCGUGUAGGCGGGAUGCCAGGUACCGUGUGAAAUCCCCGGGCUCAACCCGGGAACUGCAUGGUAAACCGGCAUUCUUGAGGCAGGUAGAGGUGAUCGGAACGACUGGUGGAGCGGUGAAAUGCGUAGAUAUCAGUUGGAACGCCUGUGGCGAAAGCGGGUCACUGGGCCUGUCCUGACGCUGAGACGCGAAAGCGUGGGGAGCGAAGAGGAUUAGAUACCCUCGUAGUCCACGCCGUAAACGAUGCGCACUAGGUAUGG
Molecule: ribosomal RNA, 822 nt
Filed under: uncultured deep-sea bacterium
Lineage: Bacteria
Description: bacterial SSU rRNA
Rfam family: Bacterial small subunit ribosomal RNA
Source: RNAcentral